RNAcentral lists this transfer RNA (56 nucleotides) under Bacillus thuringiensis. Its description in RNAcentral is "tRNA-Asn". It matches the Rfam family "tRNA", at positions 8 to 62 of the family's 71-position model. From Rfam's summary of the family: Transfer RNA (tRNA) molecules are approximately 80 nucleotides in length. Lineage: Bacteria; Bacillati; Bacillota; Bacilli; Caryophanales; Bacillaceae. RNAcentral also lists the same sequence under 1 other name. The record is from RNAcentral.
UAGCUCAGUGGUAGAGCUAUCGGCUGUUAACCGAUCGGUCGUAGGUUCGAGUCCUA